This 371-nucleotide ribosomal RNA is filed under the name uncultured organism. RNAcentral's name for it is "partial 16S ribosomal RNA". It matches the Rfam family "Bacterial small subunit ribosomal RNA", at positions 527 to 896 of the family's 1533-position model. The record is from RNAcentral.
GGAGGGAGCAAACGUUGUUCGGAAUUACUGGGCGUAGAGGGCGUGUAGGUGGUCGAGUAAGUCAGGUGUGAAAUCUUACCGCUUAACGGUAAAGUUGCAUUUGAAACUGCUUGACUGGAGGUCAGGAGAGGAGAGCGGAAUUCCCAGUGUAGCGGUGGAAUGCGUAGAUAUUGGGAAGAACACCAGUGGCGAAGGCGGCUCUCUGGACUGAAUCUGACACUGAGGCGCGAAAGCUAGGGGAGCAAACAGGAUUAGAUACCCUGGUAGUCCUAGCCGUAAACGAUGGGCACUAGGUGCUGGAAAUAUCGACGUUUUCAGCGCCGUAGCUAACGCAUUAAGUGCCCCCGCCUGGGAGUACGACCGCAAGGUUG